RNA transcript from Sander lucioperca (pikeperch), 3042 nucleotides. It is a transcript of the gene named heterogeneous nuclear ribonucleoprotein K, like, with no coding region annotated. NCBI's taxonomy places the organism in Eukaryota, Metazoa, Chordata, Actinopteri, Perciformes, Percidae. The transcript has 16 exons. The record is from RefSeq and is a predicted model, not a curated record.
UUUGAUAAAUUGUUCUGCGUGGCCACACGGGUACAUCGAGUCUUCUCUGUGAAUGUAAUGUGUUAUAGUCCCGCCCGCCUGUGCUGACUUGACAAGCGUAAGUAACAAACCCCCGGGAGAGUGUCAACGAAUCGAGCACCCUGUCUUCUCUCUGCCGAAAACGUGCAAACGUUUCUGGACGAGGAAACAGUGGAGCACCGCAGUGAACGUGGCUUUGCUGCAGCAGAUCCAGGGUGAGGAGCCUGUUUGCAUUCCACUGCAGUUGCAAAACAAUGGAGGUGAAGCUUGAACAGCAGGACGAAGAUAUCACAUUCAGCAACACUGACACUAAUGGUAAACGGCCAGCUGAGGACAUGGAAGAAGAGCAGGCCUUCAAACGUUCUCGCAACGCAGACGAGAUGGUGGAGCUGCGUGUGUUGCUUCAGAGCAAAAAUGCCGGUGCUGUUAUCGGAAAGGGUGGCAAGAACAUAAAAGCCCUACGCACAGACUACAAUGCCAGUGUAUCAGUCCCAGACAGCAGUGGCCCAGAGCGGAUCCUGAGUGUGAAUGCCAGCAUCGACACUAUUGGAGAUAUUCUGCUAAAAAUCAUACCGACUCUAGAGGAGUACCAGCAUUACAGUGGGAUUGAUUUUGACUCUGAGCUUCGUCUGCUGAUCCAUCAGAGCUUGGCAGGGGGCAUCAUUGGGGUAAAAGGUGCCAAGAUAAAGGAGCUGAGAGAGAACACCCAGACCACCAUCAAGCUGUUCCAGGAGUGCUGUCCACACUCCACUGACCGAGUCGUCUUGGUGGGAGGAAAGCCAGAACGGGUCAUUGAAUGUAUAAAAGUUAUCCUGGAGCUGGUGUCAGAGGCGCCAAUCAAAGGUCGUGCCCAGCCUUAUGACCCUAAUUUCUACGAUGAGACGUACGACUACGGCGGUUUCACUAUGUUAUUCGAGGAGAGAGGCAGACGACCCAUUGGUGGCUUCCCCAUUCGGGUGCGUGGGGGCUUUGAGCGCAUGCCCCCGGUUCGUGGCAACAGACCUAUACCUCCCUCCAGAAGGGACUACGAUGACAUAAGCCCCCGUCGGGGUCCUCCACCUCCGCUGAGCAGAGGUGGACGAGGGGGCAGCCGAGCACGUAAUCUGCCUCUUCCCCCGCCACCACCGCCAAGAGGAGGGGGAGACAGGUUCUCACAUGGCAGCUAUCAUGGCGGCAUGGACGACAGACCAAGUGACAGAAGAGGCCGAGGAGGAGACCGUUAUGACAGCAUGAGUGGAGGUGGAUAUGACAACAAUUCUUCCUGGGAGCACUUUCAGUCUGGUGGAAGAGGCUCAUACAGUGAUAUUGGAGGCCCAGUCAUCACAACACAAGUCACCAUACCAAAAGAUCUGGCUGGCUCCAUCAUCGGUAAGGGCGGCCAGAGGAUCAAGCAGAUCCGCCAUGAAUCUGGGGCAUCCAUCAAGAUUGAUGAACCACUAGAGGGCUCUGAGGACCGCAUCAUCACCAUCACAGGAACACAGGACCAGAUCCAGAACGCCCAGUACCUGCUGCAGAACAGGCAUGUGCUCCUGUGACUCCCCCAAACAACUCAUCCCAUUGGAGCAGUGUGGUCUCCUCUGAUGGCCUGUAGGCUCAUCCACCACUGGAUGGAAUGUGAGGCAGUACUCUGGUCGGUUCUUCUAGGAAGAGGGGAAGUGAAGAAGAAGAGUGAAGCCAUGCUGCCAUACUGUUUCCUCCUCCUAUUCAGAGCCUACAUUCCUCUGCUUUGCCUCCUCCCCUCACUAUCACACACUACACCAUCCUAUAAAUCACAAUUUUUAUUUAGAGGCAUUUAAAAAAACUUUAAGCUGUCAAACAGCAAAGGAGUCAACGUGUUUCUGUGCUGGUGUAAUUCUUUUUAUGAGAUUAUUGUGCCGUCAGUGGAGUAAACUCAUACUGUACGUGUGAUAACUUUUGGUGUUGUGAGCUUCCCUUGGCCCUUAUCUCCUUCAUUUCAAUACAGCAUGCAGAAUGUAAUCUUUUUGUAAGGAACAUUAUGUGAGGAUUUUUUCUCUCUCUGCCCCCCCCCCCCCUCCCCCCCUUAAAUGUUUAAGCACACUCUAAAUAAAGAUGCAUGGUUUUAGAAUGGUUAAAGAACCAUUGAAAUAAACUUUAAUUUUUACAUAACCUCCAAUAUCCUUUUCCACUUUCAAACGAAGUGCUUUUUGUAAGAUGGGCUUUAAUGGAGUGGUUUGACAUUUUGAGUAAUAUGCUUAUUUGUCUUUGUGCUAGGCUAACCGGCUGCUAGCAGUAACCUUCGUUAAAGCUGUGGUUGGCAAUUUCUGUUUUUAGGCUUUAGAAAUCUAGCUGUGACAGGAGACUUUGGUCUAUCACAGGUCAUUUCAGAGAAAGAGAGCAUUCCUAUUGGCUGUUCUGCGCAUGCAUUGCCCAUGCUAUAUUGAGGGCAGAGGUGGAGCUGCAGGAAGAGGUCUCACUCAAAUUCUGGCUUUUUUUGCAUUCUACCCACUGCAGCUUGAACUCUUUACCAGAUAUUGAAUAAGCCUGUUUCUCAAAAUGUCAUACUUUUGCUUUAAGUUGGGAUAAAUGUGCCAGUGUGAUAUAGCAAAAAGAACAUUUUUAAGAUUUUUUUGUUUUUCAUAGAAAGACAAAGAGCUGUAUAAAGUGUGUGUGUGUGUAUAUAUUUACAUAGAAAACGUAAUUUCAUGAGUGGUUAGGUUUGAUAGGCCUAAAAUAGAUAGAGCCCAAAGAGCCAUAAGACUGUUUUUUUUUUUUCUUUUUUUUCUAUGUAAUUUGAUUUAUUUUCUGCCAAUUAUGACUCGCUGUAAUGCAACCUCAAUUUUUGAUCUGUUUGAUCCAUUAUUCUUGCAUUAGUGUUUUUAAUUUGAACAAUUUGGAAACAAUUAUAAAGUUUUGAAUAGGCUCUUGGGUGCCGUUUGAAACGAGGAGCAUACAGCUUUAUGAGUCCAUGAGUGGUGUUUUCUAUCCGGUCAUAUCUGUAGCUCUGUGUCUGAUUAUCUGUAGUACCUGCAGGUGUUUAGUAAAUAAAGUCUGUGUCACAGUUCA